Molecule: ribosomal RNA, 254 nt
Filed under: uncultured bacterium
Lineage: Bacteria
Description: partial 16S ribosomal RNA
Rfam family: Bacterial small subunit ribosomal RNA
Source: RNAcentral
UACAGAGGGGGCAAGCGUUGUUCGGAAUUACUGGGCGUAAAGGGCGCGUAGGUGGCCUUCUAAGUUGAACGUGAAAUCCCUGGGCUCAACCCAGGAACUGCGUCCAAGACUGGGAGGCUUGAAUCCGGGAGAGGGAUGCGGAAUUCCAGGUGUAGCGGUGAAAUGCGUAGAGAUCGGGAGGAACACCAGAGGCGAAGGCGGCGACCUGGACAAGCACUGACACUCAACUACGAAAGCGUGGGGAGCAAACAGGG